CUGUCAAGGGUGUAAACAGCGCCAUUUCUUCCAGCAUACAGUGCCGAGAGCUGAAGGACUUGGAAAAUGCCCUUACCAGCAACCGGUGUUUAUUUUUGGAACGGAUGCUAGUAAUGUGGGAAACCCAAAACGUACGGGAGAGAAGAGAGUCACCUGUAUCGCACCACCGGAAAUCACUACCAAAACACAAAAUCCAACAUGCAACCGUGAGGAGGAAGGCUGGCAGCAAAACAAUGAUCAAGCACUGAUGUCCGGCCCAGCGCAGCAUUCAGCAAGUAGAGAGUUUAAAUGCCGGUUGAGUGAAUGAAGACAGAAUGAUCAUUUCAGUUUGCCAGGGAACCAUACCCAUUGUCUACAAGUAAAUGCUUAUAAAGGGGCUCGAUGGUAAUUCAUGUUUGUCUUUAUUUCUCCUUCAGUUAUGACCUAGUGAGAAGACCACAAGUACGUUACCCUACUGCUGCGGCUGAGAUAAAGGGAGAUGAGCGAGGUACUCACCUGGGGCACAUUUACAGGAGUACCCCAAAAAACCUCAAUCAUCAAGGACAGGACACCAUCAACACCAGCCAGAAAAAAUUGCCAUGGUUUCUUGCUGAGGAAGGCAUCAGACCUUCAAAAGUAGCUGAUUCCAGCCAGCCGCUGUCAUCACACAAGAAGCUCUUGCGAACUGACCUGCCAUGUAAGAAGAAUGAGCCUCUAAACGUGGCCACAGCUCAGUGAUACUGACCCACCACCCACCGUCUCUUUGCUGAACCGAGGAGCUCUGAAGGCGGAGGUGGUACGCGAGGCCAGGAGUGCUCCAGGAGAAGUCCGAGUUGUGGUGACCCCCCCCCUCCCCCCAACUGCCCGGAGUCACCUCAGCCCUCCCAGUCUGCAUUGAGGCACCCCUUCCACGAGGCUGUGAGCAUCCUGGGAUGUACCCCCAUAGGCUCCUGAAUGGAGCCCUGGACAUGGCAGGUGGCUGCCCUCGCGUGCUCAGUAGAUGUUCCCUGCUGCGGUCCCGACCCCACGCUCCUUACAGCCCUGUCCUCCCUGGAACUUCAGAGAUGGUGCCCUACCGUGGUGCUGCUGGGAGCCUCUCCAGCUGCUCUUGC
Long non-coding RNA from Mustela lutreola (European mink), 1091 nucleotides. RefSeq lists it as uncharacterized. The transcript has 8 exons. The record is from RefSeq and is a predicted model, not a curated record. NCBI's taxonomy places the organism in Eukaryota, Metazoa, Chordata, Mammalia, Carnivora, Mustelidae.